This 332-nucleotide RNase P RNA is filed under the name uncultured Clostridium sp. Its description in RNAcentral is "Bacterial RNase P class A". It matches the Rfam family "Bacterial RNase P class A". Rfam says of the family: Ribonuclease P (RNase P) is a ubiquitous endoribonuclease, found in archaea, bacteria and eukarya as well as chloroplasts and mitochondria. Its best characterised activity is the generation of mature 5'-ends of tRNAs by cleaving the 5'-leader elements of precursor-tRNAs. The record is from RNAcentral. Lineage: Bacteria; Bacillati; Bacillota; Clostridia; Eubacteriales; Clostridiaceae.
AGUAAGUCAGACAAUCGCCGCUUAGAAAUAAGGGGAGGAAAGUCCGGGCUUCAUAGAGCAGGAUGCUGGUUAAUGGCCAGUGGGGGUGACCCUAAGGAUAGUGCAACAGAAAUAAACCGCCUAGCAUGCUAGGUAAGGAUGGAACGGUGCGGUAAGAGCGCACCAGUAUAGUGGUGACAUUAUAGCUAUGUAAACCCCAUUUGAAGCAAGACCGAAUAGGAAAACAUUUAGGAGUAGCUCGCUCUGUUUUCGGGUGUGUCGCUAGAGGCUAUUGGCAACAAUAGUCGUAGAUAGAUGAUUGUCUAAUACAGGACCCGGCUUAUAGAUUUGGU